GCAUUGGUUCUGUGGUAGAAUUCUCACCUUCCAUGGGGGAGACCCGGGUUUGAUUCCCGGCCAAUGCA
This 68-nucleotide transfer RNA is filed under the name Loxodonta africana (African savanna elephant). It matches the Rfam family "tRNA". From Rfam's summary of the family: Transfer RNA (tRNA) molecules are approximately 80 nucleotides in length. Their secondary structure includes four short double-helical elements and three loops (D, anti-codon, and T loops). The record is from Rfam by way of RNAcentral. Lineage: Eukaryota; Metazoa; Chordata; Mammalia; Proboscidea; Elephantidae.